CUGGGUACCACCAUCUACUCAGUUGUCAAGUCUGAAACAUGGAAGCUCUCUUUGGUGUUUCCCAGAGUUAACUUUUAGAAAGUUACAUUUAUUAUAUACGCAAAACAUCUUUCAAAUCCACCCAUUUCUCUCCAUUUCCAUUUUUAUAAUCCUAGUUAAGUAGUAUUAUCAUCUCUUGCCUAAAGUAACAACCUCUAUUUGUCUUUUUGUCUCUAAUCUUAUUUCCUUUUAUUUUCUAUUCUCCAAACUGCAACCAGAAUAUUAUUUCUAAAAUACAAAUCUAAUUACUUCAUUCCCUGGUUUAAAAUCCUCCCAUUUGCUUCCCAUUUGCUUCUAGAGUAAAACAGCUUACAGGGUACUGCAGAAUCUGAUCUGUCCUUACCUCUAUAGCCUUCUCAGUUCUCGAGUCUUGCUGUUUUCAUUUUAGAUAAACUUCUUUCCACUAGUCUCCCCUAAAUCCUCCAUGUUCCUGGUGCUCAUUGUAUGCUUCUGCUCUCAUUGCAUCUGCUAUACUAUAUUCAAAUUAAUUGUCUGUUUCCCUGAGUAGACUAAUCUCAGGGCAGGGAUCAAGUAGUUUAUUUUUGUUUGUGUGUGUGUGUAUGUAUGUCCACACACACAUGCGUGUGUGGUUUAGCACGGGAAGGCCUUGAUCCUGAGUGGUCAUAGGAUCCCCAUCACCUACUUGGAUUGAGGCCUGAAUUCCUGAGGGCAACAUAGACUGCACUAUGGUAGUCAUAAUCAACAUCUUUGGAAAGGAAAUGUAAUUGGCUGGGGCCUUCUGUGUGAUCCUUGAAUGGCUAACUGAAAAAAUUUGAACACUGUUCAAAAUGUUUUAAUGAUAUACUCCAUAUUCAACAUUGGUAGUAUUGUUUCUGCAGUUUACAUCAAAAUGAAGAAGUGGAUUAAAAUUAGACUUUGUAAUGAGUUGCUUGCUUAUACAUUAUUGUGUGAGGUAGUUAAUCAGCCUGUUUAUUCUUUUCUUUGUACUCAGAACUUAAAUAUUCCCUAAUAUUUUAUUUUUUCC
RNAcentral lists this long non-coding RNA (1024 nucleotides) under Marmota monax (woodchuck). The record is from RNAcentral. Lineage: Eukaryota; Metazoa; Chordata; Mammalia; Rodentia; Sciuridae.